UGGGGAAUAUUGCACAAUGGGGGAAACCCUGAUGCAGCGACGCCGCGUGAGCGAAGAAGGUUUUCGAAUCGUAAAGCUCUGUCCUAUGAGAAGAUAAUGACGGUAUCAUAGGAGGAAGCCCCGGCUAAAUACGUGCCAGCAGCCGCGGUAAUACGUAUGGGGCGAGCGUUGUCCGGAAUUAUUGGGCGUAAAGGGUACGUAGGCGGUCUAUUAAGUCAGGUGUGAAAGCGUGAGGCUUAACCUCAUUAAGCACUUGAAACUGAUAGACUUGAGUGAAGGAGAGGAAAGUGGAAUUCCUAGUGUAGCGGUGAAAUGCGUAGAUAUUAGGAGGAAUACCGGUGGCGAAAGCGACUUUCUGGACUUUUACUGACGCUCAGGUACGAAAGCGUGGGGAGCAAACAGG
This 403-nucleotide ribosomal RNA is filed under the name Verrucomicrobiota bacterium. RNAcentral describes it as "Verrucomicrobia bacterium partial 16S ribosomal RNA". It matches the Rfam family "Bacterial small subunit ribosomal RNA", at positions 355 to 776 of the family's 1533-position model. Lineage: Bacteria; Pseudomonadati; Verrucomicrobiota. The record is from RNAcentral.